This 468-nucleotide ribosomal RNA is filed under the name uncultured bacterium. RNAcentral's name for it is "partial 16S ribosomal RNA". It matches the Rfam family "Bacterial small subunit ribosomal RNA", at positions 28 to 507 of the family's 1533-position model. The record is from RNAcentral.
GACGAACGCUGGCGGCGUGCUUAACACAUGCAAGUCGAACGGAAAGGCCCUGCUUGCGUGGUGUUCUCGAGUGGCGAACGGGUGAGUAACACGUGUGUAACCUGCUCUUCACUUUGGUAUAACUUCAGGAAACUGGGGCUAAUACCGUAUAGGAUCUCCUGCUGGAUGGUGGGGGUUGGAAAUUUUCGGCGGUCGGGGAUGGACUCGCGGCUUAUCAGUUUGUUGGUGGGGGAGUUGCUUACCAAGGACUUGGCGGGUAGCCGGCCUGGGAGGGUGACCGGCAACAUUGGGACUGAGAUACGGCCCAGCCUCCUACGGGAGGCAGCAGUGGGGAAUAUUGCACAAUGGGCGGAAGCCUGAUGAAGAAACGCCGCGUGCGGAAUGACGGCCUUCGGGUUGUAAACCGCUUUAGCCUGUGACGAAGCAUGAGUGACGGUAAUGGGUAAAGAAGCACCGGCUAACUACGUG